RNAcentral lists this ribosomal RNA (432 nucleotides) under uncultured bacterium. Its description in RNAcentral is "partial 16S ribosomal RNA". It matches the Rfam family "Bacterial small subunit ribosomal RNA", at positions 29 to 506 of the family's 1533-position model. The record is from RNAcentral.
AACGAACGCUGGCGGCAUGCCUAACACAUGCAAGUCGAACGAGACCUUCGGGUCUAGUGGCGCACGGGUGCGUAACGCGUGGGAACCUGCCCUUAGGUUCGGAAUAACUCCCCGAAAGGGGUGCUAAUACCGGAUAAUGUCUUCGGACCAAAGAUUUAUCGCCUUUGGAUGGGCCCGCGUUGGAUUAGCUAGUUGGUAGGGUAAAAGCCUACCAAGGCGACGAUCCAUAGCUGGUCUGAGAGGAUGAUCAGCCACACUGGGACUGGGACACGGCCCAUACUCCGACGGGAGGCAGCAGUGGGUAAUAUAGGACAAGGGGCGAAAGCCUGAUCCAGCACGGCCGCGUGAGUGAUGAAGGCCUUAGGGUUGUAAAGCUCUUUUACCCGGGAUGAUAAUGACAGUACCGGGAGAAUAAGCUCCGGCUAACUCCGU